GUCCCUGUAGCUUACUUAAAGCAUAGCACUGAAGAUGCUAAGACGGCUAGUUUAACUUUCCCAGGGACA
RNAcentral lists this transfer RNA (69 nucleotides) under Piaya cayana (squirrel cuckoo). Its description in RNAcentral is "tRNA-Phe". It matches the Rfam family "tRNA". Rfam says of the family: Transfer RNA (tRNA) molecules are approximately 80 nucleotides in length. Their secondary structure includes four short double-helical elements and three loops (D, anti-codon, and T loops). Further hydrogen bonds mediate the characteristic L-shaped molecular structure. tRNAs have two regions of fundamental functional importance: the anti-codon, which is responsible for specific mRNA codon recognition, and the 3' end, to which the tRNAs corresponding amino acid is attached (by aminoacyl-tRNA synthetases). tRNAs cope with the degeneracy of the genetic code in two manners: having more than one tRNA (with a specific anti-codon) for a particular amino acid; and 'wobble' base-pairing, i.e. permitting non-standard base-pairing at the 3rd anti-codon position. The record is from RNAcentral. Lineage: Eukaryota; Metazoa; Chordata; Aves; Cuculiformes; Coccyzidae.